RNAcentral lists this microRNA (25 nucleotides) under Equus caballus (horse). RNAcentral describes it as "eca-miR-9148". The record is from miRBase by way of RNAcentral. Lineage: Eukaryota; Metazoa; Chordata; Mammalia; Perissodactyla; Equidae.
UGAGGACCCGUGGCCUGAUCGCGGU